AUACGUAGGGUGCAAGCGUUAAUCGGAAUUACUGGGCGUAAAGCGUGCGCAGGCGGUUUUGUAAGACAGUGGUGAAAUCCCCGGGCUCAACCUGGGGACUGCCAUUGUGACUGCAAGGCUGGAGUGCGGCAGAGGGGGAUGGAAUUCCGCGUGUAGCAGUGAAAUGCGUAGAUAUGCGGAGGAACACCGAUGGCGAAGGCAAUCCCCUGGGCCUGCACUGACGCUCAUGCACGAAGGCGUGGGGAGCAAACAGGAUUAGAUACCCUGGUAGUCCACGCCCUAAACGAUGUCAACUGGUUGUUGGGGAUUUAUUUUCUCAGUAACGAAGCUAACGCGUGAAGUUGACCGCCUGGGGAGUACGGCCGCAAGGUUAAAACUCAAAUGAAUUGACGGGG
RNAcentral lists this ribosomal RNA (395 nucleotides) under uncultured bacterium. RNAcentral describes it as "partial 16S ribosomal RNA". It matches the Rfam family "Bacterial small subunit ribosomal RNA", at positions 523 to 918 of the family's 1533-position model. The record is from RNAcentral.